CAGUAGCCGCGGUAAAACGAAGGGGGCUAGCGUUGUUCGGAAUUACUGGGCGUAAAGCGCACGUAGGCGGACAUUUAAGUCAGGGGUGAAAUCCCGGGGCUCAACCCCGGAACUGCCUUUGAUACUGGGUGUCUAGAGUAUGGAAGAGGUGAGUGGAAUUCCGAGUGUAGAGGUGAAAUUCGUAGAUAUUCGGAGGAACACCAGUGGCGAAGGCGGCUCACUGGUCCAUUACUGACGCUGAGGUGCGAAAGCGUGGGGAGCAAACAGGAUUAGAUACCCGUGUAGUCCCUGUCUCUUAUAC
RNAcentral lists this ribosomal RNA (301 nucleotides) under uncultured bacterium. Its description in RNAcentral is "partial 16S ribosomal RNA". It matches the Rfam family "Bacterial small subunit ribosomal RNA", at positions 509 to 807 of the family's 1533-position model. The record is from RNAcentral.